CUUGUUUCAGCAGAACAUAUACUACAAUUGGAAUGAUACGGAGAAGAUUAACAUGGUCCCUGUGCAAGAGUGACACACAAAUUUGUAAAGUGUUCCACAUUAAA
Molecule: small nuclear RNA, 104 nt
Filed under: Microcebus murinus (gray mouse lemur)
Lineage: Eukaryota; Metazoa; Chordata; Mammalia; Primates; Cheirogaleidae
Source: RNAcentral